RNAcentral lists this ribosomal RNA (242 nucleotides) under uncultured bacterium. RNAcentral's name for it is "partial 16S ribosomal RNA". It matches the Rfam family "Bacterial small subunit ribosomal RNA", at positions 15 to 253 of the family's 1533-position model. The record is from RNAcentral.
GAUCCUGGCUCAGGAUGAACGCUAGCGACAGGCUUAACACAUGCAAGUCGAGGGGCAGCGGGGGUAACGAUACCCGCCGGCGACCGGCGCACGGGUGAGUAACGCGUAUGCAACUUACCUAUCAGAGGGGGAUAACCCGGCGAAAGUCGGACUAAUACCGCAUGAAGCAGGGGUCCCGCAUGGGGAUAUUUGCUAAAGAUUCAUCGCUGAUAGAUAGGCAUGCGUUCCAUUAGGCAGUUGGG